GACCAAGCAGCAUAACAGACCAGUUUUCAACAAUAGGAAGAGAAAGAACCCGUUGAAGCAAGAAACCCCUGUUGGCGGCGAAAGAAGGGAUGAAAGGCAUGGCCAUGAAGCGCUGAAAGAAAUCGAUUUGUUGGAACCUUGAAAGCCUCGAACCGCGGGAUAAGCCCAAGGGCAAUGGGUCGCCAGGAACUGGCCGGGCCUGGCCGUUGAGAGUUAUUGGUGUCGACAAGUCCAAUUCCCAAAAUCCACCGGAGUCCAUAGCCCACCUAAGUUUCUUCAUAUCUCUUCGUCGGAAUGUCCCAGAUUCU
This 308-nucleotide unclassified non-coding RNA is filed under the name Hevea brasiliensis (rubber tree). The record is from RNAcentral. Lineage: Eukaryota; Viridiplantae; Streptophyta; Magnoliopsida; Malpighiales; Euphorbiaceae.